GAUGAACGCUGGCGGCGUGCCUAAUACAUGCAAGUCGAGCGAACGGACGAGAAGCUUGCUUCUCUGAUGUUAGCGGCGGACGGGUGAGUAACACGUGGAUAACCUACUUAUAAGACUGGGAUAACUUCGGGAAACCGGAGCUAAUACCGGAUGAUAUUUUGAACCGCAUGGUUCAAAAGUGAAAGACGGUCUUGCUGUCACUUAUAGAUGGAUCCGCGCUGCAUUAGCUAGUUGGUAAGGUAACGGCUUACCAAGGCAACGAUGCAUAGCCGACCUGAGAGGGUGAUCGGCCACACUGGAACUGAGACACGGUCCAGACUCCUACGGGAGGCAGCAGUAGGGAAUCUUCCGCAAUGGGCGAAAGCCUGACGGAGCAACGCCGCGUGAGUGAUGAAGGUCUUCGGAUCGUAAAACUCUGUUAUUAGGAAAGAACAUAUGUGUAAGUAACUGUGCACAUCUUGACGGUACCUAAUCAGAAAGCCACGGCUAACUACGUG
RNAcentral lists this ribosomal RNA (497 nucleotides) under uncultured bacterium. RNAcentral describes it as "partial 16S ribosomal RNA". It matches the Rfam family "Bacterial small subunit ribosomal RNA", at positions 28 to 507 of the family's 1533-position model. The record is from RNAcentral.